AUGUUAAUAGCAUAUUCAUUUGACGUUAGCUGCAGAAGAAGCACCGGCUAACUCCGUGCCAGCAGCCGCGGUAAUACGGAGGGUGCGAGCGUUAAUCGGAAUUACUGGGCGUAAAGCGCAUGCAGGUGGUUUGUUAAGUCAGAUGUGAAAGCCCGGGGCUCAACCUCGGAAUUGCAUUUGAAACUGGCAAACUAGAGUACUGUAGAGGGGGUAGAAUUUCAGGUGUAGCGGUGAAAUGCGUAGAGAUCUGAAGGAAUACCGGUGGCGAAGGCGGCCCCCUGGACAGAUACUGACACUCAGAUGCGAAAGCGUGGGGAGCAAACAGGAUUAGAUACCCUCGGUAG
Molecule: ribosomal RNA, 344 nt
Filed under: uncultured bacterium
Lineage: Bacteria
Description: bacterial SSU rRNA
Rfam family: Bacterial small subunit ribosomal RNA
Source: RNAcentral